GAUUUUAUGGCCCUUAAGUCCCGCUAUAGGAUCAGCCCUUUACGACCCUAUAGUCCCCUAUAGGAUCAGCCCCUUUAUGGCCCUAUAGUCACCCUAUAUGGCAUCUGACCCCAUUAUCUCUCCCCAUAGAUUUAUGGCCCUAUAGUCACCCUAUAGGAUCAGGUCCCGUGUCCCCUUUAAUGGCCCUAAUAGUCCCUAUGGAUAGCCCCUUUAUGACCCUAAUAGUCCCUAUACGGAUCAGCCCCUUUAUGGCCCUAAUAGUCCCCUAUAGGAUCAGCCCCUUUAUGACCCUAUAGUCCCCUAUAGGAUCAGCGCCCUUUAGACCCUAUAGUCCGCCUAUAGAUCAGCCUGCCUUAUAUGACCCUAUAGUCACCCUAUAAUGGCAUCUGGGAAACCCAUUAUCUCUCCCCAUAGAUUUAUGGCCCUAUAGUCACCCUAUAGGAUCAGGUCCCAUGUCCCCUUUAUGGCCCUAUAGUCCCCUAUAGGAUCAGCCCCUUUAUGGCCCUAUAGUCCCCUAUAGGAUCAGCCCCUUUACGACCCUAUAGUCCCGUAUAGGAUCAGCCCCUUUAUGGCCAUAUAGUCCCCUAUAGGAUCAGCCCCUUUAUGGCCCUAUAGUCCCCUAUAGGAUCAGCCCCUUUAUGGCCCUAUAGUCCCCUAUAGGAUCAGCCCCUUUAUGGCCCUAUAGUCAUACUCUAUAGGAUCAAGCCCCUUUAUGGCCCCUAUAGUCCCUAUAGGAUCAGCCCCUUAUGGCCCUAUAGUCCCUAUAGGAUCAGCCCCUUUAUGGCCUAUAGUCCCCUAUAGGAUCAGCCCCUUUACGACCCUAUAGUCCCCUAUAGGAUCAGCCCCUUUAUGGCCCUAUAGUCCCCUAUAGGAUCAGCCCCUUUACGACCCUAUAGUCCCCUAUAGGAUCAGCCCCUUUACGACCCUAUAGUCCCCUAUAGGAUCAGCCCCUUUACAACCCUAUAGUCACCCUAUAGGAUCAGCCCCUUUAUGGCCCUAUAGUCCCCUAUAGGAUCAGCCCCCUGUACGGCCCCUAUAGUCC
This 1042-nucleotide long non-coding RNA is filed under the name Coturnix japonica (Japanese quail). RNAcentral describes it as "lncRNA (ENSCJPG00005005917.1)". The record is from RNAcentral. Lineage: Eukaryota; Metazoa; Chordata; Aves; Galliformes; Phasianidae.